RNAcentral lists this ribosomal RNA (1486 nucleotides) under uncultured Bordetella sp. RNAcentral describes it as "partial 16S-23S ribosomal RNA intergenic spacer". It matches the Rfam family "Bacterial small subunit ribosomal RNA". The record is from RNAcentral. Lineage: Bacteria; Pseudomonadati; Pseudomonadota; Betaproteobacteria; Burkholderiales; Alcaligenaceae.
GGUUUGAUUAUGGCUCAGAUUGAACGCUGGCGGGAUGUUUACACAUGCAAGUCGAACGGCAGCACGGACUUCGGUCUGGUGGCGAGUGCGGCGAACGCAGGUGAGUAAUGUAUCGGAACGUGCCUAGUAGCGGGGGAUAACUACGCGAAAGCGUAGCUAAUACCGCAUACGCCCUUCGGGGGAAAGCGGGGGACCUUCGGGCCUCGCACUAUUAGAGCGGCUGAUAUCGGAUUAGCUAGUUGGUGGGUAACGGCUCACCAAGGCGACGAUCCGUAGCUGGUUUGAGAGGACGACCAGCCACACUGGGACUGAGACACGGCCCAGACUCCUACGGGAGGCAGCAGUGGGGAAUUUGGACAAUGGGGAAACCCUGAUCCAGCCAUCCUGCGUGUGCGAUGAAGGCCUUCGGGGUUGUAAAGCACUUUUGGCAGGAAAGAAACGGCACGGGAUAAUACCCCGUGCAACUGACGGUACCUGCAGAAUAAGCACCGGCUAACUACGUGCCAGCAGCCGCGGUAAUACGUAGGGUAAGUUGUUAAUCGGAAUUACUGGGCGUAAAGCGUGCGCAGGUUAUUCGGAAAGAAAGAUGUGAAAUCCCAGAGCUUAACUUUGGAACUGCAUUUUUAACUACCGAGCUAGAGUGUGUCAGAGGGAGGUGGAAUUCCGCGUGUAGCAGUGAAAUGCGUAGAUAUGCGGAGGAACACCGAUGGCGAAGGCAGCUCCCUGGGGAUAACACUGACGCUCAUGCACGAAAGCGUGGGGAGCAAACAGGAUUAGAUACCCUUGGUAGUCCACGCCCUAAACGGAUGUCAACUAGCUGUUGGGGCCUUCGCCUUGGUAGCGCAGCUAACGCGUGAAGUUGACCGCCUGGGGAGUACGGUCGCAAGAUUAAACCGUGCGACUGACGGGGACCUGCACAAGCGGUGGAUGAUGUGGAUUAAUUCGAUGCAACGCGAAAACCUUACCUACCCUUUGACAUGUCUGGAAUCCCGAAGAGAUUUGGGAGGCGCUCGCAAGAGAACCGGAACACAGGUGCUGCAUGGCUGUCAGCUCGUGUCGUGAGAUGUUGGGUUAAGUCCCGCAACGAGCGCAACCCCGUCAUUGCUGCUACGAAAGGGCACUCUACCGAAAGAGACUGCCGGUGACAAACCGGAGGAAGGUGGGGAUGACGUCAAGUCCUCAUGGCCCUUAUGGGUAGGGCUUCACACGUCAUACAAUGGUCGGGACAGAGGGUCGCCAACCCGCGAGGGGAGCCAAUCCCAGAAACCCGAUCGUAGUCCGGAUCGCAGUCUGCAACUCGACUGCGUGAAGUCGGAAUCGCUAGUAAUCGCGGAUCAGCAUGCUGCGGUGAAUACGUUCCCGGGUCUUGUACACACCGCCCGUCACACCAUGGGAGUGGGUUUGUACCAGAAGUAGUUAGCCUAACCGUAAGGAGGGCGAUUACCACGGUAGGAUUCAUGACUGGGGUGAAGUCGUAACAAGGUAG